AUGAUUAUAGUUAAAAGAUAUAACGCCAUCUUAGCCAAGGAGGAAUUAUCAGUUUGAUUCUGAUUAGUCAUA
This 72-nucleotide transfer RNA is filed under the name Lentinula edodes (shiitake mushroom). RNAcentral's name for it is "trnX2". The record is from RNAcentral. Lineage: Eukaryota; Fungi; Basidiomycota; Agaricomycetes; Agaricales; Omphalotaceae.